This 622-nucleotide long non-coding RNA is filed under the name Malus domestica (apple). RNAcentral describes it as "long non-coding RNA (MDOM_LNC016551)". Lineage: Eukaryota; Viridiplantae; Streptophyta; Magnoliopsida; Rosales; Rosaceae. The record is from RNAcentral.
AGCUUAUGGUAAAAAUCCAACAACAAGUUGGGGCACCACCGCACAGGAAAACCAAAUAAAAAAUCGUUUUCCAAUUUUUACUUGCUUCAGGAUUUUGAAUUGGUAAGAUGAACUUAGUCCUUUCGGGGAAAUCCAAUAAAACUGGUCAGAUGAAUUUAAAUUCUUAUAAUUUUUUGCCUUUGCAUUGUUAAAAAAUUAAUUAAGUUUGAAGUUUCAAUGACUAUGGAUUAUAUGUUUGGUGCCUAAAAGAUGAUUUUUUUUUUUUUCAUAAUAUGAAUUUUUAUCUUCCAUAAAACACAAGUUUAUGAUUGUUUUUUUUUAGAUGGUUAAAAUGUUGGAGCUUUUUUUGUCUCUUUAGUUAGUUUAUAUAUCGGCCCUGCACAUUUAAAACUCUGGUACAUUUCUCUAAUAAAUGUAGGUCCAUUGAUUCAAGUGUGUCUCACCUUAAUUAAAAAGAUAGUAAAAAUAUGAUACAACAAAUAUGAUAAAAGUAACAUUUUUGUAAGAAAAUAAAAUAUAAAAAAAAGCAAAGUAAUACACAUAGGUGGGUAUGACAAAAUUGACUUAUAAAGCAGGAAUGAGUUUAUUCCGAGGACUAGUGACGAAUCUCCAAACACUUUUG